Molecule: long non-coding RNA, 938 nt
Filed under: Androctonus crassicauda
Lineage: Eukaryota; Metazoa; Arthropoda; Arachnida; Scorpiones; Buthidae
Source: RNAcentral
AGGGUGGGAAAACUGGGAAUUCUAAUUAACAUAAGUAUUUUAGUAUGGUUGAAUAGUUGUUAUUUUUUGAAAAAUCAUCUAUAUAAAUUUUAAUAUAAUGUAAAAAAUAAAUUUUCUUUUUCUAAGCUGAUGCUUACCCAUCCACUUAACAAAAAACGUUCCCUUUUUUACACAAUAGGCCAGUCUAUUCUAAGACAUGCGCAGUCUGAACCCACAGAACUAAGUUGGACAAACUAUAACGUUUGAUAUCCUUUUCUUCUUCAUCAGACAUUUGCAUUCUACUGCUGACGAUGGCCUCCCAAUGUACUACAUUUCUUCGGUUCUGUGCAGUACACAUUCAGUAUUUUUUAGAUUAACGCUUAAUUUCAUCACUCCACCUUGAUUUGGGUGUCCACCUAUAUGUCAGUUAUUUUUUCGAUACUUCAAAAUAUUUGUUUUUCAUUAAACUCAAUAAUUUUCCUUAUUUUCCUAGUUCUCGAUGUCAUUUUAUUUAUGUAUACAGUUUAAUUUUAUUUAAAACUCCUUUAAUUAAUCAUAAAAAUAAAAAUCGCUAGAUAUCCAUCAAUGUCUUCGAUUUAGUCUCUCUCUUUGGUCUAUACUGAUUUUAAUUAUUCAUUUCUUUAUUAAAUGAUUUAUAGAUUUGAUAAUCCCCUAUUAUCAAAGAACAAGAAAAUUUGCAAAAGAUAUACUAUAUAUUUCAUACUAAAUUACAUAACGUUUAUUUUAUUAUUGAAAAUUUUUAUGGAACAAAUGAAAUAUUAUUACUGUAUAAAGCUUUCUAUCUUUUUUUGCAUAUUUUACGCCCCUUUCCAAUCAGGAAGAUUACUAAGAGGCGGGGACAAUUCCAACUACGGGGUACACCCACACCCGUGGAGGGGAGCCGGAUGGUGAAGGACGGGGAUCGCCAGGCGGGCCCAGCAUCUCGAAAAACUUUUCAG